Molecule: long non-coding RNA, 554 nt
Organism: Haliotis rubra (blacklip abalone)
Lineage: Eukaryota; Metazoa; Mollusca; Gastropoda; Lepetellida; Haliotidae
Exons: 3
Source: RefSeq, a predicted model, not a curated record
AUACAAUCACAGCUACCUGUCGCGUUCGGCGUUAUAAUCAGUACACACCUGUUGAGCUGGCUGCGUUGAUUGACAAACCCAGGAGUUAAAGGCAGUGACAGAUUGAACACCGUCACAGGUCCUGGAGGUUUCCAACGUCGGCAGGGACGACGCGGGAUGGGAGUUGUGUGUCAGUCUAUGGUGAACCCCCGGGUGUGGGGAAAGCCUCGUUCAGGUACCACGAGAUUUAUGACGUAUGACAAUGGAUCGUAACUCCGUCGGCGUUGCAUUGUUUUACACACUGAACUGUUAGAUAAUAGUGCGAUAUAUGCUGUUCCGAGAUGAAAGAUGGUUCACAAGGCAAAGUAGAUCUGAACCUCUGGCUGACGAUGUCACCGACUUUUUGCAAGCAAUGAAAACUGACACGGCUUGUGUUAUCGUCGUUAAUAUGACGUCUUUAUUUGCUUUUGAGAUUGGCUUCUUGUAAAACUAGGAAUGUUGAAAGUGACGAAAAGAAGGAAUAGUGCGUGCGUAUCCAUCUGUUUUUGAAAAUAAAAAAUGCUUUACAAAUCGUC